AAACUCUUCCAAAAAUUGAAAGCCAUCAUCCAGGGCUCCUCCAGAUGUACCGUGUUCUGCAUGUACCAUGGAGUGGAAAGGAACAAAGUGAUUAUCUGAUUGUCCCAGGGAAAUGAAGCAGAGGUGUUAGAGCGCAGCAGUCAUAUCCACCGACAUGCCUGACAGGAAAACAUAAUGCAGACUUAAUGUAAAGAGGGAAUAAAACUGCAUCUGUUACCAUUCUGAGGAAGUGUGCACAUUCAGAAAGCAGAGCUUGGAGGCUAAGUAAAUAUAUGUCAACACACUAAGGAGUGAGAAUUAUUUGAAUUCUGGAUUGGCUGACUUGCAUCGAUGCCUUUUGUUUUGUGAUCUUCAAAUGCAGGAGAGGAAGAUAUUUCCCUUCAGUGCUUCAACAACUCCUAUGCAAGAUGAGCAUGCAAAGAACUUCUGAGGCCAGCCAAAACCACUCCAUCAAGUUUAAGCAUGUGUGAAAUCUGGCCUAGGAUCAAAUAGGAGAUGAAAAAUCCUACUGGUCAUUGCCGGCUGCUGAGUGCUUCCCUUUGGAGACUCAUGGAAGUCAGAAAGGUCUACAAAUCUUUUCCUUAAAUGUCACAUAUUUGAAUAGGUAUUUUCACCGGAGCGAGUGAUUAGAUAAGAUAAAAUGAAGUACGAAACCUACUGAGUAAUUUAUUUAAUAUUUGGAAGUGAAAAUAUUAGAAGAAUUGCUUUAAGCCGAUCCCAAAAUAUUGAGAUUUAUCUCCAUUUUCUUAAAGAUUUUCUUUUUCUCCUGUUAAAUUUGAGUUCUCUAUUUCGGGAUUGUUCUCCAUUCACCCCCUUCCACCCUCCUCCCCAUAGAUACUUGGAUGGUUUCUGACAACAUGGAAGUGAAUUCUUGACAAAAAGAAAAUGAAAAAAUUGUCCAUUCUCAUGAGAUGUUUCAACAGACUCUCCCAAAAGUAUCAGUGUUGGCCACAAUGGCGCAUUUAGGUUUAGAAAUAUAAUUUCCUCAGUAAGCAGAUUGAUACAAGAGUAACGGCUGCAGUAAUUGUUGCUUCUUAAUUGAUGCUUAUGUAUGGGUUUGAACUAUUGUCAAGCUAUCUCAGGAUAGCUUACUAUAGAUUUUGUGCACUUGUCCUACUCUAGUGCUGUGUCUGUGUUUCUGGAGUCCUUCAGGUCAGAACACCAAAAUACCUCCCUGUGAGAGCCUCCUUUCUGUUACCUGGAGAGUCUUGUGCUGUUUCAUGGCUGACUACUCAAAGAAUACAAUUGUGGGAAGGGUUUUUGAAAACAAGGUAUGUUAAAAAAAAAUCAUAUUUUGUUUUAAUCCUUUCUUUCUUAAAAAUUACUGUGGAGCACAAAAGAGGUAUUAGGUUUUGAAUCUCUAUAGCAUGGAUGUCCAACCUUUUAGCUUGCCUAGGCCCCGUUGAGUAAAGAGGAAUUUUCUUGGGCCACAUAUAUAGGUUGCUCUGAAUGUAAUGCCCCCUAAUUUUUCCAUGGAAAAUACAAGAAAUACAAAGAACACAAUAACACUAUUUGUGUUUUGUUUUCAACA
Numida meleagris (helmeted guineafowl) is the source of this 1531-nucleotide long non-coding RNA. RefSeq lists it as uncharacterized. The transcript is spliced from 5 exons. NCBI's taxonomy places the organism in Eukaryota, Metazoa, Chordata, Aves, Galliformes, Numididae. The record is from RefSeq and is a predicted model, not a curated record.